AUGGCCGCCCUGCCUCCUCCCUUCUCAAGGCUGCGUCUGCGCGCUCGCACCGCCGUGGCCAUGGAUCCGCGGAUCCCGCCGCCGUGGUCGCUGCGAGGAGGUCGAGCUGGAACCCCACGGGCUUGGUCUGGAUCCAACCGUGUCGGGAGCACCAUGGCCUCCCUUCUCGAUAUGGGGGAAGGGAAGGGAAGGGAAGGGAGAGGAGGGGAGGUCGCCGGUGCGAAGAGGGCGGAGGCCGGCGGUGGGGUCGCGGAGUCGCCGAUGCAGCCGGGGUCGAGGGGGAUUUUGAGCACGCUCACCUAA
Molecule: ribosomal RNA, 303 nt
Filed under: Triticum aestivum (bread wheat)
Lineage: Eukaryota; Viridiplantae; Streptophyta; Magnoliopsida; Poales; Poaceae
Description: partial small subunit ribosomal RNA
Source: RNAcentral